CCUGACCUCGAUUCGAACGUGAUUACCCGCUGAACUUAAGCA
RNAcentral lists this ribosomal RNA (42 nucleotides) under Gyrodactylus emembranatus. RNAcentral describes it as "partial 28S ribosomal RNA". Lineage: Eukaryota; Metazoa; Platyhelminthes; Monogenea; Gyrodactylidea; Gyrodactylidae. The record is from RNAcentral.